UGGGUAAAUCAUUGUAAGUCACUUUGGAGAAAAGUGUCUGCUAAAUGAAUAAAU
Scleropages formosus (Asian bonytongue) is the source of this 54-nucleotide regulatory RNA element. It matches the Rfam family "UnaL2 LINE 3' element". From Rfam's summary of the family: The eel long interspersed element (LINE) UnaL2 and its partner short interspersed element (SINE) share a conserved 3' tail containing a stem-loop that is critical for their retrotransposition. Presumably, the first step of retrotransposition is the recognition of their 3' tails by UnaL2-encoded reverse transcriptase. Lineage: Eukaryota; Metazoa; Chordata; Actinopteri; Osteoglossiformes; Osteoglossidae. The record is from Rfam.